AGUGAACGCUGGCGGUAGGCCUAACACAUGCAAGUCGAACGGCAGCACAGUAAGAGCUUGCUCUUACGGGUGGCGAGUGGCGGACGGGUGAGGAAUACAUCGGAAUCUACUUUUUCGUGGGGGAUAACGUAGGGAAACUUACGCUAAUACCGCAUACGACCUACGGGUGAAAGCAGGGGAUCUUCGGACCUUGCGCGAUUGAAUGAGCCGAUGUCGGAUUAGCUAGUUGGCGGGGUAAAGGCCCACCAAGGCGACGAUCCGUAGCUGGUCUGAGAGGAUGAUCAGCCACACUGGAACUGAGACACGGUCCAGACUCCUACGGGAGGCAGCAGUGGGGAAUAUUGGACAAUGGGCGCAAGCCUGAUCCAGCAAUACCGCGUGGGUGAAGAAGGCCUUCGGGUUGUAAAGCCCUUUUGUUGGGAAAGAAAAGCAGCAGGUUAAUACCUCGCUGUUCUGACGGUACCCAAAGAAUAAGCACCGGCUAACUUCGUG
Molecule: ribosomal RNA, 492 nt
Filed under: uncultured bacterium
Lineage: Bacteria
Description: partial 16S ribosomal RNA
Rfam family: Bacterial small subunit ribosomal RNA
Source: RNAcentral